AAGUAAUCCUAAAAGGUAGGAUUACUUUGAACCAAACCCCUAAAAGUAGGGACCAAAUGAUGUAUUAAACCUAAAAACUAUAAGUUACAUAGGCUGAGAGAAUAAUCUUGCCAACAAUCGACAGCGUCAUGGCAAAGGCCAAGCUGAUGACAACCCAGUUGAGGUCAAGCUGAUGAUGCUCUGGCUUAGGUCAAGCUGAUGAUGCCCUAGCCUAGGUCAAGCUAAUGAAAAAAUAUGAGGAUAGAAGACGUGUAAAUUUGAGAA
RNAcentral lists this small RNA (264 nucleotides) under Vigna angularis var. angularis. RNAcentral describes it as "Non-protein coding transcript". The record is from RNAcentral. Lineage: Eukaryota; Viridiplantae; Streptophyta; Magnoliopsida; Fabales; Fabaceae.